Molecule: ribosomal RNA, 1396 nt
Filed under: uncultured bacterium
Lineage: Bacteria
Description: 16S ribosomal RNA
Rfam family: Bacterial small subunit ribosomal RNA
Source: RNAcentral
UUAGAGUUUGAUCCUGGCUCAGGAUGAACGCUAGCUACAGGCUUAACACAUGCAAGUCGAGGGGCAUCAUGGGGUAGCAAUACUCCGAUGGCGACCGGCGAAUGGGUGAGUAACACGUAUCCAACCUGCCCCGUACUCAGGGAUAGCCCUUAGAAAUGAGGAUUAAUACCUGAUUGCGUCCGGAGGCUGCAUGGCCUCCGUACUAAAGAUUCAUCGGUACGGGAUGGGGAUGCGUCUGAUUAGGUAGUAGGCGGGGUAACGGCCCACCUAGCCUACGAUCAGUAGGGGUUCUGAGAGGAAGGUCCCCCACAUUGGUACUGAGACACGGACCAAACUCCUACGGGAGGCAGCAGUGAGGAAUAUUGGUCAAUGGGCGCAAGCCUGAACCAGCCAAGUAGCGUGAAGGAUGACGGCCCUAUGGGUUGUAAACUUCUUUUUCCGGGGGAUAAAGUGAGCCACGUGUGGCUUAUUGCAGGUAACCGGUGAAUAAGGACCGGCUAAUUCCGUGCCAGCAGCCGCGGUAAUACGGAAGGUCCGAGCGUUAUCCGGAUUUAUUGGGUUUAAAGGGUGCGUAGGCUGCGUGUCAAGUCAGCGGUGAAAUGUACGGGCUCAACCCGUAACGUGCCGUUGAAACUGAUGUGCUGGAAUGGCGUUGCCGUGGGAGGAAUGUGUAAUGUAGCGGUGAAAUGCAUAGAUAUUACACAGAACACCGAUUGCGAAGGCAUCUCACGAAGCGCUGAUUGACGCUGAUGCACGAAAGUGCGGGGAUCAAACAGGAUUAGAUACCCUGGUAGUCCGCACAGUAAACGAUGAUAACUAGCUGUCGGCGAUAGACGGUCGGUGGCCAAGCGAAAGCGAUAAGUUAUCCACCUGGGGAGUACGACCGCAAGGUUGAAACUCAAAGGAAUUGACGGGGGCCCGCACAAGCGGAGGAACAUGUGGUUUAAUUCGAUGAUACGCGAGGAACCUUACCCGGGCUCGAACGGUACCGGACGACACAAGAGAUGGUGUUUCCCUUCGGGGCUGGUAUCGAGGUGCUGCAUGGUUGUCGUCAGCUCGUGCCGUGAGGUGUCGGCUUAAGUGCCAUAACGAGCGCAACCCUUGUUGACAGUUGCCAUCAGGUAAAGCUGGGGACUCUGUCGAGACUGCCACCGUAAGGUGUGAGGAAGGGGGGGAUGACGUCAAAUCAGCACGGCCCUUAUGUCCGGGGCGACACACGUGUUACAAUGGUGACUACAGCGGGACGCUACCCUGCGAGGGGAUGCCAAUCUGUAAAAGUCAUCUCAGUUCGGAUCGGAGUCUGCAACUCGACUCCGUGAAGUUGGAUUCGCUAGUAAUCGCGCAUCAGCCAUGGCGCGGUGAAUACGUUCCCGGGCCUUGUACACACCGCCCGUCA